This 70-nucleotide transfer RNA is filed under the name Marumba sperchius. RNAcentral's name for it is "tRNA-Ala". The record is from RNAcentral. Lineage: Eukaryota; Metazoa; Arthropoda; Insecta; Lepidoptera; Sphingidae.
AGGAUUAUAAUUUAUCUAAAAUAUUUAAUUUGCAAUUAAAAAAUAUUGAUUAAUUUAUCAAUUUAUCUUA